UGGGGAAUAUUGCACAAUGGGCGCAAGCCUGAUGCAGCCAUGCCGCGUGUGUGAAGAAGGCCUUCGGGUUGUAAAGCACUUUCAGCGAGGAGGAAGGUGGUGAACUUAAUACGUUCAUCAAUUGACGUUACUCGCAGAAGAAGCACCGGCUAACUCCGUGCCAGCAGCCGCGGUAAUACGGAGGGUGCAAGCGUUAAUCGGAAUUACUGGGCGUAAAGCGCACGCAGGCGGUUUGUUAAGUCAGAUGUGAAAUCCCCGGGCUCAACCUGGGAACUGCAUUUGAAACUGGCAAGCUAGAGUCUCGUAGAGGGGGGCUAGAAUUCCAGGUGUAGCGGUGAAAUGCGUAGAGAUCUGGAGGAAUACCGGUGGCGAAGGCGGCCCCCUGGACGAAGACUGACGCUCAGGUGCGAAAGCGUGGGGCAGCAAACAGGAUUAGAUACCCUGGUAGUCCACGCUGUAAACGAUGUCGAUUUUGGAGGUUGUGCCCUUGAGGCGUGGCUUCCGGAGCUAACGCGUUAAA
RNAcentral lists this ribosomal RNA (520 nucleotides) under uncultured bacterium. RNAcentral describes it as "partial 16S ribosomal RNA". It matches the Rfam family "Bacterial small subunit ribosomal RNA", at positions 355 to 864 of the family's 1533-position model. The record is from RNAcentral.